Molecule: ribosomal RNA, 446 nt
Filed under: Shigella sonnei
Lineage: Bacteria; Pseudomonadati; Pseudomonadota; Gammaproteobacteria; Enterobacterales; Enterobacteriaceae
Description: partial 23S ribosomal RNA
Rfam family: Bacterial large subunit ribosomal RNA
Source: RNAcentral
ACACACGGCGGGUGCUAACGUCCGUCGUGAAGAGGGAAACAACCCAGACCGCCAGCUAAGGUCCCAAAGUCAUGGUUAAGUGGGAAACGAUGUGGGAAGGCCCAGACAGCCAGGAUGUUGGCUUAGAAGCAGCCAUCAUUUAAAGAAAGCGUAAUAGCUCACUGGUCGAGUCGGCCUGCGCGGAAGAUGUAACGGGGCUAAACCAUGCACCGAAGCUGCGGCAGCGACGCUUAUGCGUUGUUGGGUAGGGGAGCGUUCUGUAAGCCUGCGAAGGUGUGCUGUGAGGCAUGCUGGAGGUAUCAGAAGUGCGAAUGCUGACAUAAGUAACGAUAAAGCGGGUGAAAAGCCCGCUCGCCGGAAGACCAAGGGUUCCUGUCCAACGUUAAUCGGGGCAGGGUGAGUCGACCCCUAAGGCGAGGCCGAAAGGCGUAGUCGAUGGGAAACAG